CCCCUAGAUGUUCUGGGCCGCACGCGCGCUACACUGAACAGUUCAACAAGUCUUAACCUUGGCCGAUAGGUCUGGGUAAUCUUUGAACGCUGUUCGUGAUUGGGAUAGACCUUUGCAAUUAUGGGUCUUCAACGAGGAAUUCCUAGUAAACGCAAGUCAUCAGCUUGCAUUGAUUACGUCCCUGCCCUUUGUACACACCGCCCGUCGCACCUACCGAUUGAAUGGUCCGGUGAAAUCUCGGGACGGCGGCUUGGUCGCUUGCGUCCGACUGCUUAAACUUGAUUAAACCAUAUCAUUUAGAGGAAGGUGAAGUCGUAACA
RNAcentral lists this ribosomal RNA (320 nucleotides) under uncultured eukaryote. RNAcentral describes it as "partial 18S ribosomal RNA". It matches the Rfam family "Eukaryotic small subunit ribosomal RNA", at positions 1470 to 1796 of the family's 1831-position model. The record is from RNAcentral.